Molecule: ribosomal RNA, 253 nt
Filed under: uncultured bacterium
Lineage: Bacteria
Description: partial 16S ribosomal RNA
Rfam family: Bacterial small subunit ribosomal RNA
Source: RNAcentral
UACGGAGGGUGCGAGCGUUGUCCGGAAUCAUUGGGCGUAAAGAGCGUGUAGGCGGUCCGGUAAGUCCGCUGUGAAAGUCGGGGGCUCAACCCUCGAAUGCCGGUGGAUACUGUCGGGCUAGAGUGCGGAAGAGGCGAGUGGAAUUCCUGGUGUAGCGGUGAAAUGCGCAGAUAUCAGGAGGAACACCUAUUGCGAAGGCAGCUCGCUGGGACGUUACUGACGCUGAGACGCGAAAGCGUGGGGAGCAAACAGG